CCCCAUGUCCCCUCCUCACUUUUGCUUAACAUGAUGUUUGUUUCCAUUUAGAGGCAUGUUUAGGUUUCACCAUGUUCACCUUUUGCUUCCCUCUUUGAGUGCGGUUUGAUAUGAAACUUUGGUGGUGAUUUUAGGUCUUUCAUUUGUGAGUUCCAUGUUUAAUCUAUUGACUUCUCUUAUCUAAUUUCCUCGUACCAAUCAUUCUUUGUUAAGAAUUGUUGAGUUCUUUUGUUAACUUGAAUGAUUAUUUGCUUUGAUGCUUAUGCUUUUGAACUCAACUCUUGUUUGAAUAUUUGUAUGCCAUGGAUACAUGUUUAAGUUGAAUAUCUUGUUCAUGUUUGUCUCUUCUUUAUUCACCAUGUCCCUUCUGUUUUGUCUUUUUUUGUUAGCACCUAGAUUAGAGGACUAGUUUCCAAUUAGGGUUGUUUCUGACUUUUCCUUUGUGCAAAUUUGUGCUAUCUUUUUCCCAAGCAUGAUUAUUGUUGAUGAUGAGUUUAUUGUGCCUUAGUUUAUGAAUUGUUUGUAUUCUCAUCUUCUUCAUUUCAAUUUAAUUUCUUAUACCAUGCCAUGUUAAGCACUUAACACUUAUAGCCUGGUAUGUUAGCUUGCUUAAAUGUUUACUUACUUUUGGGACUUCUAAUGCUAAAACCCCUUGUGCAUGACACUUAGGGUUUGGUUUGACAUGUCUAAAUGUUUACUUUGAUGAUAAGUUGCUACCUCAUGAAUGUUUGAUAACAUGCUCUUUGCUUGAGUUUUGUUCGCAAUUUGUUUGAGCCUUGUCUCCUAUUACCAUGACUAGUUAAGUUUGGAUGUGUAUCAUGAAAUGUUUGUUUUAAGUUGAGGUAUAUUAAAUCAUGUUUAGACUUAUAUUUUUACCUCUUGUACUUAUUUGCUUGCUUGCUUUGGAAUUAUUUUUAAGUUGUGACUUCUAAUUGUUUAUUUGUCCUUCUACUUGCCUAGUUAGGAGAUUCUCUCUUCUUCUUGACCUAUGUUGCCUUGUUUAAGGUAGGAUUAGGUUGGUAACAUGAUAAGACCAUUAUAUUAUAGUUGUUCAUUAUGUUCUUAUAACAUGUUCAUUUUGUUGGUUAACCUUUGGUUAUGUGCUUUACUUCCUUACUUAUUUAAGUAGGAUAGUUUUUAGGUUAGGAGAUGUUCAUCUCUUGCAUACCUUAACUCUUUCUCUUUAUGGUUUGAUGUGUGAUUGUUUAAUUAUAAUCUUUCCUUCUACCUUGUUGAUUGCUUGGGUGUUCACCUAAUUUUAUGUUCUUUCAUCUUUGAUUUCUGCUUGUUUAAGUAGGUAUUGCUUUAGGUAUCUUGUUUAAGUGUCUAUGUGUGAGUAAGUGUUUACUUCUCAUUAGAUGUGUGAUUGUUUAAUUUUCAUAUCUUUAUUUAUUUUUAAUUGAUGACAUUAAUUCUACUUGUUUCAGUUCUCUUUGUUUUAUCUAUGGUCAUGGUUUGUUACUUGCAUAUGUGUUCACCUAAUUGCUUGUUCUCCUUCUUUGAUGUUUACUUGCUUUCAUUACCUUAUUUAAGUGUGUGAUUGCUUGUUUUCUAUCCUCUUUUUCUUUUUUCCUUUCCUUGUUUGAUUUCAUGUUCCCCAUAGGAUCCUUUAGUUAUUUCUUGGUCAAUAUUGAACAAAGUAUACCUUAGGGUUGGUAUCCAUGUAUGACAACAUUAUCUAGAAGUUUCCUCGAUCCUAACUUUAAGUCCACAUUUCAUGACAACAAGUAGGAUUGAGACUCCCCUUUUGUUACUCCUUUUUAUCUUUUGAAUUCAUUCUAAAACUAAA
Molecule: long non-coding RNA, 1789 nt
Filed under: Lathyrus oleraceus (garden pea)
Lineage: Eukaryota; Viridiplantae; Streptophyta; Magnoliopsida; Fabales; Fabaceae
Description: Pisum sativum (pea) long non-coding RNA (PSAT_LNC024729)
Source: RNAcentral